Molecule: long non-coding RNA, 542 nt
Organism: Asparagus officinalis (garden asparagus)
Lineage: Eukaryota; Viridiplantae; Streptophyta; Magnoliopsida; Asparagales; Asparagaceae
Exons: 3
Source: RefSeq, a predicted model, not a curated record
CCUUCUUCAUCGGUCCCAGCUUUCCUUUCUCUCUAAAAUUUCGGUUUCUUUUCUCCUUGAGUUCUAGCCAUCCAAGAACUUCUCCAAGAUCAGAACUCCCCAAACCCUUUAAAUUCCACAUUGAUUCCUUCCCCUCUUCUUCCAACUUGGAUCCGAGUAAAGGGAGAUUAAAACCUAGGGUUUGUGAUUCUUCCAACGUGAGUUCGAGCUUAAGCAUCGGGUGGAGUUCCUGCCUUGGAUUUCGAUUUCAGUCAAGAGCUAGGUUUUCGACGGCUUGGUGCGAUUCUCCUCGUCGAAUUCGCCGACUUUGAUUCAGGAUCUCAGCUCCCUCUUUGCCUCAGAUUCGAGUUUUGCUUAGUGGUGGAUUUUCUCAAUUCAGAUCACGCUAUUCUCGAGUUCAGGUGAACCUCGAAUGCUUCUGUUUCAAUUUUGGUUGUGUCUGUGAUCUUUAGCUUGGUAAUUGAACUUUAGUUCUUGAACUUUGGGGGAAAACCUGAAAUUGAUGGCUGAAACUUUGGACUGUUCAUGGCUAAAAAAUUGUG